AUGGAGCAAGGCGCCGACUCCGCGGCGGCGAGGCGGAUGGCCAGGGUCGCCUCCCACCUCCGCCCGCCCACCUCGCAGAUGGAGGAGGUGGCCAUCUUGAAGGGCUCUGAUUGCCGUGCAAAAGGUGCGGCACCAGGGUUCAAGGUCGCAGUCCUGGGUGCAUCUGGUGGGAUUGGCCAGCCGCUCUCGCUGCUCAUGAAGAUGAACCCUCUUGUUUCGGUGCUCCAUUUAUAUGAUGUUGUCAACACACCUGGUGUCACAGCUGACAUUAGCCACAUGAACACCGGUGCUGUGGUGCGUGGCUUCUUGGGUCAGUCACAAUUGGAAAGUGCUCUUACUGGAAUGGAUCUUGUGAUCAUUCCUGCUGGCAUUCCUCGGAAACCUGGGAUGACAAGGGAUGAUUUGUUCAACAUCAAUGCCGGGAUUGUUCGGACUCUUUGUGAGGGAAUUGCAAAAUGCUGCCCAAAUGCGAUUGUGAAUGUGAUCAGUAACCCUGUAAAUUCUACCGUUCCGAUCGCUGCUGAAGUAUUUAAAAAAGCUGGAACAUAUGAUCCUAAGCGCCUAUUGGGGGUGACAACACUUGAUGUAGUGAGAGCCAAUACCUUUGUGGGAGAGGUUCUUGGACUUGACCCCAGAGAUGUCAAUGUUCCUGUUGUUGGUGGGCAUGCAGGAGUUACGAUAUUACCACUCCUUUCACAGGUGAAUCCUCCCUGCUCGUUUACCUCAGAAGAAAUUAGUUAUCUCACUUCUCGCAUACAGAAUGGUGGGACAGAAGUAGUUGAGGCCAAAGCAGGAGCAGGAUCCGCGACUCUUUCCAUGGCCUACGCAGCAGCCAAAUUCGCGGACGCGUGCCUGAGAGGGCUGCGCGGCGACGCCGGGAUAGUGGAGUGCUCUUACAUAGCCUGUCAGGUGACGGAGCUGCCCUUCUUCGCGUCCAAGGUGCGGCUGGGCCGGUCGGGCGUCGAGGAGGUCCUGCCGCUCGGCCCGCUGAACGAGUUUGAGAGGGCGGGGCUGGAGAAGGCCAAGGGCGAGCUGGCCGAGAGCAUCCACAAGGGCGUCGCCUUUGCCAACAAGUGA
Molecule: ribosomal RNA, 1077 nt
Filed under: Triticum aestivum (bread wheat)
Lineage: Eukaryota; Viridiplantae; Streptophyta; Magnoliopsida; Poales; Poaceae
Description: partial small subunit ribosomal RNA
Source: RNAcentral